UCAAACUGUUUCCUAAAUAUAUGUAAAAAUUAUUCUUCAGGUGAAGAAACCUGAAUUCUAUUAAAAGACAAGAAGACCCUGUAGAGCUUUACCUAAACAGCCAUAGAAAAAAAACGACAGUAUUUUUUUCUAUGAGACAUACAUGGUUUAACUGGGGCGGUUAGAGAACAGUAAACUUCUACCUAAAAAAUAAGGUAAACACACCAACUAAAUUAAAUAAAUCUAAAUUUAAAGAAAUAAGCUACCUCAGGGAUAACAGACUAAUCCUUCCUGAGAGUACCCAUUGAAGGAAGGGGUUGGCACCUCGAUGUUGGCUUAGGGCAUCCCAGGGGUAGUAGCAGCCCCUAAAGGUAGGUUUGUUCAACCUUUAAAGCCCU
This 377-nucleotide ribosomal RNA is filed under the name Asychis cf. trifilosus GK-2017. RNAcentral's name for it is "partial 16S ribosomal RNA". It matches the Rfam family "Bacterial large subunit ribosomal RNA", at positions 2048 to 2597 of the family's 2925-position model. Lineage: Eukaryota; Metazoa; Annelida; Polychaeta; Maldanidae. The record is from RNAcentral.